Molecule: ribosomal RNA, 148 nt
Filed under: Oryza glaberrima (African rice)
Lineage: Eukaryota; Viridiplantae; Streptophyta; Magnoliopsida; Poales; Poaceae
Description: rRNA LSU_rRNA_eukarya
Rfam family: Bacterial large subunit ribosomal RNA
Source: RNAcentral
GAUAACAGGCUGAUGACUCCCAAGAGCUCUUAUCGACGGAGUCAUUUGGCACCUCGAUGUCGACUCAUCACAUCCUGGGGUUGAAGAAGGUCCCAAGGGUUCGGUUGUUCGCCGAUGAAAGUGGUACAUGAGUUGGGUUUAGAACGUU